Molecule: long non-coding RNA, 1386 nt
Filed under: Olea europaea subsp. europaea
Lineage: Eukaryota; Viridiplantae; Streptophyta; Magnoliopsida; Lamiales; Oleaceae
Source: RNAcentral
UAUCGAUUAAUACUUAGAAAUGUUUGUUACAUACUAUUAAACAGUACUAUACAAUGUAAAAUCUACGUUAACAAACAACCCAUAAUAAUUCUCUCCAAUUACAUUGACAAACAAAGGUCAAUAGAUACGAUAUUAUUACUGGAAAAUAAAUAUGCUUGAAGAUAAGAGAGGUGAUAGGUGUAAAGGACUGUGGUUGGGAUGAAACCCUGAGGGGUAGUUCAAUGGUCAAGGCUUCGGGUUUGUUCUCCAAUAGUCACCAGUUCGAGUCUCUUCAGGGCCAUUGAGAUGAAUACCCGAUUGUAAACAUCAGAGCCCCGUUGGAUUAGUAGAGGUGCUCGAAAGCUGGUCCGGACACUCAUGGUCAUAAAAAAAAAAAAAAAAAAAAACUGUGGUUGGGAUGAAAAUGCAAAACAAGGCAGCAUAUGUAGACUCCACAUGUCAAUGUGUUACAUUGAACAUACGAAACUAAUAAAUGUGUGUUUUUGGCAGAAACUACUGAAUACGAAGAAUACUAAAACGGUAAACGGAAUGGGAUCAAACGCUUUCGGCUCCAAGGCACCAGUAAAAGCUAUUGCUUCGAUUAAUUUUUUUUAGAUGUAUUACCAUUCUGUUGCUGCUGCUAACGUGAUUGGAACAUCGAGGGGUUAAGUGAAAGCUGCUGGAAUUUGUACGGAUCUCCACUCAGUUCAGCAGUAGCAAUCUUCAAACGUUGUAUCUCCCCUGUUAAUGCUUCAUUUAAAGCUGGCAUAAAAAGAAAAAAACUGUUAAAUUCCGCCACAUAGCAACUGCAGAAACUUGAUGGCAUCGAAAUAUAUAGUAACAAAUCAGAUGAGCAUUUUACCCACAGCCCCAACCAACACAGGUGCACAACAAAUAAAGAGGGACCAAGACCUGAAGCAGGCAGUCUAGUAGAUUUAGAAAACUUUUUAAGUUUAAAUUCCAGUGAGCAAGUAAAGCUAAGUAAAAUCAUAAAAUAAUUAAGAUCAAUCUCAAUAUUGCACGAAUGAAAUUUAAGUGUAUUACCCAUAAGAUAUCCAAGGAGGGAGCAUGCAUGUCUGAAUAGGUGGGGUGGCUAUAGUUGGAGUCUGCUUACAAAGAUGAUUAAUGUAGGAAAUUGAAGGAAACAACUACACUUAAUGGUAGUAAAUUGAAGUAGCAAAAAGAGUGAUUACGUUCUGCAUAUGACCUUGGGCGAAAGAAGUUCCAUUUUUAUGAGUGUUGCUUGGCUGGACAGAGGUUACACGUGGGGGUGAUCAUGGAUGUAUACUAUUUGCAAUUUUGAUGGUUCAUAUUCAUCUGCUGUACAUUGGUAUCCCUUAUUCCAAUGAUUUCCAAAUGAAUAUGUGAAAACCGGACUCAUCUGUGUGGACGGGUGCCUGAUAGGAA